Molecule: ribosomal RNA, 578 nt
Filed under: unidentified bacterium wb1_A23
Lineage: Bacteria
Description: SSU rRNA
Rfam family: Bacterial small subunit ribosomal RNA
Source: RNAcentral
CUACCAAGGCCAAGACGGCUAGGGGGCGUGAGAGCGUGACCCCCCACAAUGGGACUGAGACACGGCCCAUACUCCUACGGGAGGCAGCAGUGAGGAAUAUUGCACAAUGGGGGCAACCCUGAUGCAGCAAUGCCGCGUGAGCGAAGAAGGCCUUCGGGUUGUAAAGCUCUUUUCUGGGUGAAGAGCGAGGACGGUAGCCCAGGAAUAAGUCCCGGCUAACAGGAUGCCAGCAGCCGCGGUAAUACCUUGGGGACGAGCGUUAUCCGGAAUCAUUGGGCGUAAAGCGCAUGUAGGCGGUUUGGCCAGUUGGUUGUGAAAGCUCAGGGCUUAACUGUGAGAGGCCAGCCAAGACUGUCAGACUUGAGCGAGGUAGAGGAGAGCGGAAUUCCCGGUGUAGUGGUGGAAUGCGUAGAGAUCGGGAGGAACACCAGUGGCGAAAGCGGCUCUCUGGACCUUGACUGACGCUGAGAUGCGAAAGCGUGGGGAGCGAACGGGAUUAGAUACCCCGGUAGUCCACGCUGUAAACGAUGGUUACUAGGUGUAGCGGGUGUCAAGUCCUGCUGUGCCGCAGCCAACGC